This 477-nucleotide ribosomal RNA is filed under the name uncultured bacterium. Its description in RNAcentral is "bacterial SSU rRNA". It matches the Rfam family "Bacterial small subunit ribosomal RNA", at positions 328 to 793 of the family's 1533-position model. The record is from RNAcentral.
UCAGUCGACUCCUACGGGGAGGCAGCAGUGGGGAAUAUUGCACAAUGGGGGAAACCCUGAUGCAGCCAUGCCGCGUGUGUGAAGAAGGCCUUCGGGUUGUAAAGCACUUUCAGUAGGGAGGAAGGUAGUGUAGUUAACACCUGCAUUAUUUGACGUUACCUACAGAAGAAGCACCGGCUAACUCCGUGCCAGCAGCCGCGGUAAUACGGGAGGGUGCGAGCGUUAAUCGGAAUUACUGGGCGUAAAGCGCAUGCAGGCGGCCUGUUAAGUCAGAUGUGAAAGCCCGGGGCUUAACCUCGGAAUUGCAUUUGUAAACUGGCAGGCUAGAGUCUUGUAGAGGGGGGUAGGAAUUUCAGGUGUAGCGGUGAAAUGCGUAGAGAUCUGAAGGAAUACCAGUGGCGAAGGCGGCCCCCUGGACAAAGACUGACGCUCAGAUGCGAAAGCGUGGGGAGCAAACAGGAUUAGAUACCCUGGUAG